This 1431-nucleotide unclassified non-coding RNA is filed under the name Penaeus japonicus. RNAcentral's name for it is "uncharacterized LOC122267964, transcript variant X2". Lineage: Eukaryota; Metazoa; Arthropoda; Malacostraca; Decapoda; Penaeidae. The record is from RNAcentral.
CUCCCCUCUCCCUCCUUCCCCCUUCCCUCCUCCCUCCUCCCGGCCUCCCUAAGACAUCCAGCUGCGAGAUGGCGUAAUACGACGGAAUGCUGAUUAUACGGACGGUCUAGUUCGGCCACAUUUUUACGGCCGCGCACGUCGGUAGGGAGGAAGAGGAGCUGUGGAGAGGCGGGCUGCAGAUGGGCCUCCUAUUGUUUCGGGGCGGACGAGCCGAAAUGGGCGGCCGCCGCUCCUCCGCUGCUAUCAGGCCCGUGUUUCGAGCGGAUUGCCGUCCGUGCUUUAUUGUUAUUGGCGAUGCUCCACCUGUUGGCCCGCUCGCCGCCCGCUCGCCGCCCGCCCUCCGUAUUGUGUUGGUAUUGCACUUGGUGUGAAGAGAAUCCAAAGAGUGAUUGUACUGUUUGUUUGUAUUUGUUGUUCAUCGCUUGGCUCGUGGUGACGAAUGAAUUGUUUAAUGAUCUUAAUUAACGCGGUUUCUUUUCUUCCCGCAGGUGACAUCACGCAGAAAGGAUAUGAGAAGAAGAAGGCCCGUCUCCUCCAGCCCUAUGUCACCAGGGAUCCGAGUCAGGGUGCGCAGGCUGGAGCGGCCUCCCCCUCCACGCGUUCGCGACGCAGGGCGCAGCGCCGAGUCACCCGGAACGAGUCCCGCUACCACUCCGGUAAGUAACUGAUCGGAUCUCAACGACCGGAUGAUGCUCUCGUUCGUCGAGCUCGUGAGGUAAGUACUUGUCUUUCUCGUAUUUUGUGAGGAUUUUUCAGUCGUGCCGGAAGCUCGUCAAGGGACGUAAGCGUCUUGAAAUGCUUGCGUGGCUCUGACUGUCCGAGUUCUUGUGUCGAAAGGAGAAUUCUUAGCCAGUCAGUCUGAGCAGCCGAGGUUGCACUCAUGACGGUCAGCUAAUUUGUAUAUGGAAGGUCCAGUUGGCACGGACCAGUGAACAACGGGGUCUCGUACCCAUAGUUAGCUUGGCCCAGUCGGCCUACGCAUCAGCACCACUAGGGAGCGAUAAUGGACGUGGCGAAGGGAUUGUGUUCGUGAAAUAUGUUUUUUUUUUUUAACUUUAUGCUUUUAUUUUAUAUUUUUAUAUUACUUUCGGAAUUUCCCUCCAAGAAUGCGUUCCAUAGAAAGUCACGAGAUGUUGCUUAUCAUUUGCAUUUUAUCUUUUACGUUAACAAGGACCACAUUUUUAUCAUUGUAGAUAUUAAACGGUAUAGUGAUUAGCUUUUGUUUUUGUGAUGAAACCGUUUGGCUUUACAAUACUAAAUAUUGAUAAGUUGAAGUUGUUAAAUGAUAGAUCUUUGAGGCAGAAAUGUAACUACUCUGCCAUAGGUUAUUGGAUAUAUUUUAAAAGUCAGCGUUCGAAUCAUUAAUAGAGAAGGUAGUUAUGGCACGUCUUGAUAAUAUCUGCAUGAGGAGAACUCCUGCUUGCCAAUCAG